AGAGUUUGAUCCUGGCUCAGAUUGAACGCUGGCGGCAUGCUUUACACAUGCAAGUCGAGCGGCAGCGCGGGGGCAACCCUGGCGGCGAGCGGCGAACGGGUGAGUAACAGAUAGGAACGUGUCCGGGAGUGGGGGAUAACUAGCCGAAAGGUUAGCUAAUACCGCAUAUUCUCUACGGAGGAAAGCGGGGGAUCGGUAACGACCUCGCGCUCGCGGAGUGGCCUAUCUCCGAUUAGCUAGUUGGUGAGGUAAAGGCUUACCAAGGCGACGAUCGGUAGCUGGUCUGAGAGGAUGAUCAGCCACACUGGGACUGAGACACGGCCCAGACUCCUACGGGAGGCAGCAGUGGGGAAUUUUGGACAAUGGGGGCAACCCUGAUCCAGCCAUGCCGCGUGCAGGAAGAAGGCCUUCGGGUUGUAAACCGCUUUUAUUCGGAAAGAAGGAGUCGGGGUUAAUACCUCCGAUGACAGACGGUACCGGAUGAAUAAGCACCGGCUAACUACGUGCCAGCAGCCGCGGUAAUACGUAGGGUGCGAGCGUUAAUCGGAAUUACUGGGCGUAAAGCGUGCGCAGGCGGUUCGUUAAGUCAGCUGUGAAAGCCCCGGGCUCAACUUGGGAAUUGCGGUUGAAACUGGCGGACUAGAAUCUGGCAGAGGGGGGUGGAAUUCCACGUGUAGCAGUGAAAUGCGUAGAGAUGUGGAGGAACACCGAUGGCGAAGGCAGCCCCCUGGGCUGAGAUUGACGCUCAGGCACGAAAGCGUGGGGAGCAAACAGGAUUAGAUACCCUAGUAGUCC
RNAcentral lists this ribosomal RNA (795 nucleotides) under uncultured bacterium. RNAcentral's name for it is "bacterial SSU rRNA". It matches the Rfam family "Bacterial small subunit ribosomal RNA", at positions 8 to 796 of the family's 1533-position model. The record is from RNAcentral.